This 311-nucleotide ribosomal RNA is filed under the name uncultured bacterium. RNAcentral's name for it is "bacterial SSU rRNA". It matches the Rfam family "Bacterial small subunit ribosomal RNA", at positions 32 to 353 of the family's 1533-position model. The record is from RNAcentral.
AAUCAACGCUGGCGGCGUGCCUAACACAUGCAAGUCGAACGAGAAAGUGGAGCAAUCCAUGAGUAAAGUGGCGACCGGGUGAGUAACACGUGACUAACCUACCUCCGAGUGGGGAAUAACUCCGGGAAACCGGGCUAAUACCGCAUAACAUCGCGAGAUCAAAGCAGCAAUGCGCUUGGAGAGGGGGUCGCGGCUGAUUAGCUAGUUGGCGGGGUAAUGGCCCGACCAAGGCGAAGAUCGGUAUCCGGCCUGAGAGGGCGCACGGACACACUGGAACUGAAACACGGUCCAGACUCCUACGGGAGGCAGCA